RNAcentral lists this small RNA (307 nucleotides) under Histoplasma ohiense. RNAcentral's name for it is "hypothetical lncRNA". The record is from RNAcentral. Lineage: Eukaryota; Fungi; Ascomycota; Eurotiomycetes; Onygenales; Ajellomycetaceae.
UAGGCUUCCAAAACAACUAUCCAGCAGCGGGCAAUUUUGAUGUCAAUGGCAAUGCUGAUGUUGAUGCUACAUGGGUAAACACCACAUCCCAAGACACGCACACCUGAGAAUUAUUCAUCUUCGGUAAUAUAGUUAGUGUCCGCGAUGGAGUGGACCGAUGACAUCUCAAAGCGAGGUGGGCGGUGAUGUGUGGCGUUUGGUAGUACUAGUUAAUUAGUCGAUCAAGGAGGCUUGAUGAUGGUUCAUUUUCAAGCUUUUAAAACAAAAAAAGAUAUCUUGUUGUAUAUUGCAUUUUCAUUGUUUCAUU